This 75-nucleotide transfer RNA is filed under the name Parvibaculum sp. RNAcentral's name for it is "tRNA-Val". It matches the Rfam family "tRNA". Rfam says of the family: Transfer RNA (tRNA) molecules are approximately 80 nucleotides in length. Their secondary structure includes four short double-helical elements and three loops (D, anti-codon, and T loops). The record is from RNAcentral. Lineage: Bacteria; Pseudomonadati; Pseudomonadota; Alphaproteobacteria; Hyphomicrobiales; Parvibaculaceae. RNAcentral also lists the same sequence under 4 other names.
GGGCGAUUAGCUCAGCGGGAGAGCGCCUCGUUGACAUCGAGGAGGUCACUGGUUCAAUCCCAGUAUCGCCCACCA